GAGGAAGCCGGUGCGAAUCCGGCGCGGUCCCGCCACUGUGACCGGGGAGCGACCCCCAACCAGGCCACUGUCCGCGUGCGGACGGGAAGGCCGGGGGGAGCGUCGAUCCGGGAGCCAGGAGACUC
Molecule: non-coding RNA, 125 nt
Filed under: Planomonospora parontospora subsp. sphaerica
Lineage: Bacteria; Bacillati; Actinomycetota; Actinomycetes; Streptosporangiales; Streptosporangiaceae
Source: RNAcentral